GGGAAUGUAACUCAGUGGUAGAGUGCCUGCCUAGCAUAUGUGAGGCCCUGGGUUCAAUCCCCAGCACUGCUA
RNAcentral lists this transfer RNA (72 nucleotides) under Urocitellus parryii (Arctic ground squirrel). RNAcentral describes it as "Spermophilus parryii (Arctic ground squirrel) tRNA". It matches the Rfam family "tRNA". From Rfam's summary of the family: Transfer RNA (tRNA) molecules are approximately 80 nucleotides in length. Their secondary structure includes four short double-helical elements and three loops (D, anti-codon, and T loops). Further hydrogen bonds mediate the characteristic L-shaped molecular structure. tRNAs have two regions of fundamental functional importance: the anti-codon, which is responsible for specific mRNA codon recognition, and the 3' end, to which the tRNAs corresponding amino acid is attached (by aminoacyl-tRNA synthetases). tRNAs cope with the degeneracy of the genetic code in two manners: having more than one tRNA (with a specific anti-codon) for a particular amino acid; and 'wobble' base-pairing, i.e. permitting non-standard base-pairing at the 3rd anti-codon position. The record is from Rfam by way of RNAcentral. Lineage: Eukaryota; Metazoa; Chordata; Mammalia; Rodentia; Sciuridae. RNAcentral also lists the same sequence under 1 other name.